AACGCACAUUGCGCCCCUUGGUAUUCCGGGGGGCAUGCCUGUUCGAGCGUCAUUAUAACCCCUCAAGCUCAGCUUGGUGUUGAGGCCUGCCUACUGGCAGCCCUUAAAAUCAGUGGCGGCGCCAUCUGGCUCUAAGCGUAGUAAUUUCUCUCGCUAUAGGGUCCCGAUGGAUGCUUGCCAGCAACCCCCAAUUUUUUAAUGGUUGACCUCGGAUCGGGUAGGGAUACCCGCUGAACUUAA
This 240-nucleotide unclassified non-coding RNA is filed under the name uncultured fungus. Its description in RNAcentral is "partial contains 5.8S ribosomal RNA, internal transcribed spacer 2, and large subunit ribosomal RNA". Lineage: Eukaryota; Fungi. The record is from RNAcentral.